RNAcentral lists this ribosomal RNA (251 nucleotides) under uncultured Armatimonadota bacterium. RNAcentral's name for it is "uncultured Armatimonadetes bacterium partial 16S ribosomal RNA". It matches the Rfam family "Bacterial small subunit ribosomal RNA", at positions 796 to 1041 of the family's 1533-position model. Lineage: Bacteria; Bacillati; Armatimonadota. The record is from RNAcentral.
CUAGCCGUAAACGAUGGAUACUAGGUGUUAGAGGUAUCGACCCCUCUAGUGCCGCAGCUAACGCAUUAAGUAUCCCGCCUGGGGAGUACGACCGCAAGGUUGAAACUCAAAGGAAUUGACGGGGGCCCGCACAAGCGGUGGAGCAUGUGGUUUAAUACGUCACUAACCGUAGAACCUUACCCAGGCUUGACAUCUGUGGAACCCUGAUGAAAGUCGGGGGUGCCUCGUAAGAGGAGCCGCAAGACAGGUGU